UUGAUUAGGGUUUGAUUUAGGGUUAGGAUUUGGUUAGGAUUUGAUUUAGGAUUAGGAUUUGAUUAGGAUUUCAUUUAGGAUUUAGGAUUUGAUUAGGAUUUGGUUCAGAAUUUAAGAUUUGGUUUAGGAUUUGAUUUAGUAUUAGGAUUUGGUUAAGAUUUGAUUUAGGAUUAGGAUUUGAUUAAGGUUUGAUUUAGGAUUUGGUUAGGAUUUGAUUUAGGAUUUGGUUAGGAUUUGAUUUAGGAUUUAGGAUUUUAUUAGGAUUUAUUUAGGAUUUAAGAUUUAGUUAGUUUUGGCCUAAAAUUUGAAUGAAUUCCAAUAGGAUUUUAAUUAGGAUUAAAUUAAGAUUGAAUUGAGAUGUAUUUGAGAUAUAUUUGUAAUAAUUCUAAUAUUUCUUUAAGAUUUCUUAUUGUUACUUUGUAAUUCCUUUGAGAUUUCUUUGAAUUUGAUUAAAGCUUGUUUAGCAUUAUUAUGGUCUAAUUAAAAUUUAGUUAGUAUUCUAUUAGAGUUAGGAUUUUGUUAUUGCACUUUCCAUUCUACCUUCCACAGCCGGGUACCCAGAGCAUUCUUAUGCAAGAUUUCAUGUAUUACGACAAUGUAGAAAUGAAUUAGAGUUGUCCACUUUAUUUUAUUUUUUUACAAAGAAGUAAGUUGGCUUUGUAUUUUUGUGUCUCUUUUUGCAAUUGGACUAACUUAUUUGUAUUGUUUAAAAAUUCAAAUAGAAUUAUUUAAGUAAUGAUGUCCAUUAAUGAAUAAUUGAAGUGGCUAUAUGGAGUAGAAAUGACAUAGUUUGCUUAUU
RNAcentral lists this long non-coding RNA (799 nucleotides) under Physcomitrium patens. Its description in RNAcentral is "long non-coding RNA (PPAT_LNC013212)". Lineage: Eukaryota; Viridiplantae; Streptophyta; Bryopsida; Funariales; Funariaceae. The record is from RNAcentral.